GCCGAAGUGGCGGAAUUGGCAGACGCAGCGGACUCAAAAUCCGCCGGGCUAACACUCGUACGGGUUCGAGUCCCGUCUUCGGCACCA
RNAcentral lists this transfer RNA (87 nucleotides) under Clostridium perfringens. RNAcentral's name for it is "tRNA-Leu". It matches the Rfam family "tRNA". From Rfam's summary of the family: Transfer RNA (tRNA) molecules are approximately 80 nucleotides in length. Their secondary structure includes four short double-helical elements and three loops (D, anti-codon, and T loops). RNAcentral also lists the same sequence under 3 other names. Lineage: Bacteria; Bacillati; Bacillota; Clostridia; Eubacteriales; Clostridiaceae. The record is from RNAcentral.